This 118-nucleotide ribosomal RNA is filed under the name Danio rerio (zebrafish). Lineage: Eukaryota; Metazoa; Chordata; Actinopteri; Cypriniformes; Danionidae. The record is from RNAcentral.
UCAACACAGCCAUAUCACCCUGCAGCCCAAGACCAGUUACUCACUGAAGCUAAGCAGGGCUGAGCCUGGUCAGUAUCUGGAUGGGAGACCACAUGGGAAAACUAGGUUGCUUCUGGAA